RNAcentral lists this transfer RNA (77 nucleotides) under Pedobacter sp. RNAcentral's name for it is "tRNA-Met". It matches the Rfam family "tRNA". Rfam says of the family: Transfer RNA (tRNA) molecules are approximately 80 nucleotides in length. Their secondary structure includes four short double-helical elements and three loops (D, anti-codon, and T loops). Lineage: Bacteria; Pseudomonadati; Bacteroidota; Sphingobacteriia; Sphingobacteriales; Sphingobacteriaceae. RNAcentral also lists the same sequence under 8 other names. The record is from RNAcentral.
CGCGGGGUGGAGCAGUUCGGUAGCUCGUCGGGCUCAUAACCCGAAGGUCACAGGUUCAAAUCCUGUCCCCGCUACCA